This 606-nucleotide ribosomal RNA is filed under the name Sporosarcina sp. CPCC100570. Its description in RNAcentral is "bacterial SSU rRNA". It matches the Rfam family "Bacterial small subunit ribosomal RNA", at positions 95 to 687 of the family's 1533-position model. The record is from RNAcentral. Lineage: Bacteria; Bacillati; Bacillota; Bacilli; Caryophanales; Caryophanaceae.
GCGGCGGACGGGUGAGUAACACGUGGGCAACCUGCCCUACAGAUGGGGAUAACUCCGGGAAACCGGGGCUAAUACCGAAUAAACAGUUGGUUCGCAUGAACCAACUCUGAAAGACGGUUUCGGCUGUCACUGUAGGAUGGGCCCGCGGCGCAUUAGCUAGUUGGUGGGGUAAUGGCCUACCAAGGCGACGAUGCGUAGCCGACCUGAGAGGGUGAUCGGCCACACUGGGACUGAGACACGGCCCAGACUCCUACGGGAGGCAGCAGUAGGGAAUCUUCCACAAUGGACGAAAGUCUGAUGGAGCAAUGCCGCGUGAGCGAAGAAGGUUUUCGGAUCGUAAAGCUCUGUUGUAAGGGAAGAACACGUACGGGAGUAACUGCCCGUACCUUGACGGUACCUUAUUAGAAAGCCACGGCUAACUACGUGCCAGCAGCCGCGGUAAUACGUAGGUGGCAAGCGUUGUCCGGAAUUAUUGGGCGUAAAGCGCGCGCAGGCGGUCCUUUAAGUCUGAUGUGAAAGCCCACGGCUCAACCGUGGAGGGUCAUUGGAAACUGGGGGACUUGAGUACAGAAGAGGAAAGCGGAAUUCCACGUGUAGCGGUGAAAU